Molecule: ribosomal RNA, 253 nt
Filed under: uncultured bacterium
Lineage: Bacteria
Description: partial 16S ribosomal RNA
Rfam family: Bacterial small subunit ribosomal RNA
Source: RNAcentral
UACGGAGGGAGCUAGCGUUGUUCGGAAUUACUGGGCGUAAAGCGCGCGUAGGCGGUUUUCCAAGUCAGUGGUGAAAGCCCGGGGCUCAACCCCGGAAUAGCCUUUGAAACUGGAAAACUAGAAUCGUGGAGAGGUCAGUGGAAUUCCGAGUGUAGAGGUGAAAUUCGUAGAUAUUAGGAAGAACACCGGUGGCGAAGGCGGCCCACUGGAUCGGUACUGACGCUGAGGUGCGAAAGCGUGGGGAGCAAACGGG